GUUAACGUAGGUCACCGUAGCUGUUGAUGCAUAGGACGCGUUUGAUUGACUCGGACCGUAUGGCUGGGUGAAUUCUCAAUUAAUUGUUACACUGCACCGCGAUCUUUCCCUAAAAUCGGGGGGGGGGGGGGGAGGAGACAAAAAAUCGGCAAAGUACGAGCGCGAUAUUGACAUUUGCGGAUGAUCGGAGCGCGUUAAAAGAAUACGCUGAUUUUAGCAUUGCAUUGAAUGUCAAUGUCUGCCGUAGUGGAAUAUUCGAAAGUUUGACAUGCUACCGAAAGUUUAAGGAGAAUAUUUUACAAAUUCCACCUCUUAUCCUGCCUGCAUCCUCGCGAUAUCAGGGAUAAGGAAGAAAAAAGUUGGUUCAUUUCGAAGUUGAUCGAAUGAAGGCAAAACACUAAAACACGAAUGAAUGAAGAAUCACGCCCACAGGUCCGAGCAACUAUACAUAUACAUCUGUGUUUUACAAAUGUUGCCGUUAUGUUUUACAGCUAAUUUGAAUAAACUGAUUUAUCACUUUGUGUAACU
RNAcentral lists this long non-coding RNA (528 nucleotides) under Neodiprion lecontei (redheaded pine sawfly). RNAcentral describes it as "uncharacterized LOC124293174". The record is from RNAcentral. Lineage: Eukaryota; Metazoa; Arthropoda; Insecta; Hymenoptera; Diprionidae.